CUACGGGUGGCACCAGUCGAGAAUCUUCCGCAAUGGACGAAAGUCUGACGGAGCGACGCCGCGUGCGGGAUGAAGGUCUUCGGGUUGCAAACCGCUGUCAGUGGGGAGGAAAUGCAUCAGGGUUCUCCCUGGUGUUUGACCGAUCCGCAGAGGAAGCGCAGGCUAAGUUCGUGCCAGCAGCCGCGGUAACACGAACUGCGCGAACGUUAUUCGGAAUCACUGGGCUUAAAGAGUUCGUAGGCGGCCUUGCAAGUCGGGUGUGAAAUCCCUCGGCUCAACCGAGGAAUUGCGCCUGAUACUGUUGGGCUUGAGGGGGAUAGGGGUGAGCGGAACUGAUGGUGGAGCGGUGAAAUGCGUUGAUAUCAUCAGGAACACCGGUGGCGAAGGCGGCUCACUGGAUCUCUUCUGACGCUGAGGAACGAAAGCUAGGGGAGCGAACGGGAUUAGAUACCCUGGUAGUC
This 461-nucleotide ribosomal RNA is filed under the name uncultured bacterium. RNAcentral describes it as "partial 16S ribosomal RNA". It matches the Rfam family "Bacterial small subunit ribosomal RNA", at positions 339 to 795 of the family's 1533-position model. The record is from RNAcentral.